UAGGGAAUCUUCGGCAAUGGGGGGAACCCUGACCGAGCAACGCCGCGUGAGUGAAGAAGGUUUUCGGAUCGUAAAGCUCUGUUGUUAAGGAAGAACGAGUGUGAGAAUGGAAAGUUCAUGCUGUGACGGUACUUAACCAGAAAGGGACGGCUAACUACGUGUCAGCAGCCGCGGUAAUACGUAGGUCCCGAGCGUUGUCCGGAUUUAUUGGGCGUAAAGCGAGCGCAGGCGGUUAGAAAAGUCUGAAGUGAAAGGCAGUGGCUCAACCAUUGUAGGCUUUGGAAACUGUUUAACUUGAGUGCAGAAGGGGAGAGUGGAAUUCCAUGUGUAGCGGUGAAAUGCGUAGAUAUAUGGAGGAACACCGGUGGCGAAAGCGGCUCUCUGGUCUGUAACUGACGCUGAGGCUCGAAAGCGUGGGUAGCAAACAGG
Molecule: ribosomal RNA, 429 nt
Filed under: Bacteroidota bacterium
Lineage: Bacteria; Pseudomonadati; Bacteroidota
Description: Bacteroidetes bacterium partial 16S ribosomal RNA
Rfam family: Bacterial small subunit ribosomal RNA
Source: RNAcentral